UCCUACGGGGGGCAGCAGUCGGGAAUAUUGCGCAAUGGAGGAAACUCUGACGGAGCAACGCCGCGUGGGUGAAGAAGGUCUUCGGAUCGUAAAACCCUGUUGUUAGAGAAGAAAGUGCGUGAGAGUAACUGUUCACGUUUCGACGGUAUCUAACCAGAAAGCCACGGCUAACUACGUGCCAGCAGCCGCGGUAAUACGUAGGUGGCAAGCGUUAUCCGGAUUUAUUGGGCGUAAAGGGAACGCAGGCGGUCUUUUAAGUCUGAUGUGAAAGCCUUCGGCUUAACCGGAGUAGUGCAUUGGAAACU
RNAcentral lists this ribosomal RNA (305 nucleotides) under uncultured bacterium. RNAcentral's name for it is "bacterial SSU rRNA". It matches the Rfam family "Bacterial small subunit ribosomal RNA", at positions 337 to 634 of the family's 1533-position model. The record is from RNAcentral.